RNAcentral lists this transfer RNA (69 nucleotides) under Rattus norvegicus (Norway rat). It matches the Rfam family "tRNA". Rfam says of the family: Transfer RNA (tRNA) molecules are approximately 80 nucleotides in length. Lineage: Eukaryota; Metazoa; Chordata; Mammalia; Rodentia; Muridae. The record is from Rfam by way of RNAcentral.
GGAGAUUUAGCUCAGUGGUAGAGCGCUUGCCUAGCAAACGCAAGGGCCUGGGUUCAGUCCCCAGCUCCG